AUAUAUUGAGUAGGUUGAGAAAUUGGUUAAAAAUCUUGUGAUUCAUGUUAUGACAAAAAUUGUUAUAAAUAUUGAUUGAAAUUUGAACUGAAAUUUAGGGACAUAUUAUUGAAACAUAUAUCAUUUUCACAAUAUAUAUAAAAGAGCACCUAAUUGAACAAAGUCAUAAUUUUUCAGUAGGCUACAAGCAAGGGUCAAAAAAUUGUAAAGUCCAAUUCAUCCCCUCUUGAACUGUUUUGGGACAACAAUAUCCGUUGCCUUUACACCUUUCAAUUCCCCAUCAAAACUAUGAAUUUA
Molecule: unclassified non-coding RNA, 297 nt
Filed under: Hevea brasiliensis (rubber tree)
Lineage: Eukaryota; Viridiplantae; Streptophyta; Magnoliopsida; Malpighiales; Euphorbiaceae
Source: RNAcentral